UCGCUACUACCGAUUGGACGUUUUGGUGAGGCUCAUGGAUCACCGCCCUCUGUGGUUCGCCACGUUGGGCAAGUGAGAAAUGAAACAAACCUGAGCGUCUAGAGGAAGUAA
This 111-nucleotide ribosomal RNA is filed under the name uncultured eukaryote. RNAcentral's name for it is "partial small subunit ribosomal RNA". It matches the Rfam family "Eukaryotic small subunit ribosomal RNA", at positions 1676 to 1785 of the family's 1831-position model. The record is from RNAcentral.